This 72-nucleotide transfer RNA is filed under the name Dipodomys ordii (Ord's kangaroo rat). It matches the Rfam family "tRNA". From Rfam's summary of the family: Transfer RNA (tRNA) molecules are approximately 80 nucleotides in length. Their secondary structure includes four short double-helical elements and three loops (D, anti-codon, and T loops). Lineage: Eukaryota; Metazoa; Chordata; Mammalia; Rodentia; Heteromyidae. The record is from Rfam by way of RNAcentral.
GGGAAGGUGGCUCAGUGGUAGAGCGCUUGCCUUGUGUUCAUGAGGCCCUGGGUUCGAUUCCUCACCACCACA